GGGCAGGGCGCAGCUACCAUGCAGUCGAGCGAGAACUUCGGUUCUAGCGGCGGACGGGUUAGUAACGCGUGGGAACGUGCCCUUCACUACGGAAUAGUCCCGGGAAACUGGGUUUAAUACCGUAUACGCCCUUCGGGGGAAAGAAUUUCGGUGAAGGAUCGGCCCGCGUUAGAUUAGAUAGUUGGUGGGGUAACGGCCUACCAAGUCUACGAUCUAUAGCUGGUUUUAGAGGAUGAUCAGCAACACUGGGACUGAGACACGGCCCAGACUCCUACGGGAGGCAGCAGUGGGGAAUCUUAGACAAUGGGCGCAAGCCUGAUCUAGCCAUGCCGCGUGAGUGAUGAAGGCCUUAGGGUCGUAAAGCUCUUUCGCCAGGGAUGAUAAUGACAGUACCUGGUAAAGAAACCCCGGCUAACUCCGUGCCAGCAGCCGCGGUAAUACGGAGGGGGUUAGCGUUGUUCGGAAUUACUGGGCGUAAAGCGCGCGUAGGCGGAUUGGAAAGUUGGGGGUGAAAUCCCAGGGCUCAACCCUGGAACUGCCUCCAAAACUAUCAGUCUAGAGUUCGAGAGAGGUGAGUGGAACUCCGAGUGUAGAGGUGAAAUUCGUAGAUAUUCGGAAGAACACCAGUGGCGAAGGCGGCUCACUGGCUCGAUACUGACGCUGAGGUGCGAAAGUGUGGGGAGCAAACAGGAUUAGAUACCCUGGUAGUC
This 710-nucleotide ribosomal RNA is filed under the name Roseovarius sp. RNAcentral's name for it is "bacterial SSU rRNA". It matches the Rfam family "Bacterial small subunit ribosomal RNA", at positions 37 to 795 of the family's 1533-position model. Lineage: Bacteria; Pseudomonadati; Pseudomonadota; Alphaproteobacteria; Rhodobacterales; Roseobacteraceae. The record is from RNAcentral.